AUUGAACGCUGGCGGCAGGCCUAACACAUGCAAGUCGAGCGGAUGAAGGGAGCUUGCUCCUGGAUUCAGCGGCGGACGGGUGUGUAAUGCCUAGGAAUCUGCCUGGUUGUGGUGGAUAACGUCCGGAAACGGGCGCUAAUACUGCAUACGUCCUGAGGGAGAAAGUGGGGGAUCUUCGGACCUCACGCUAUCAGAUGAGCCUAGGUCGGAUUAGCUAGUUGGUGGGGUAAAGGCCUACCAAGGCGACGAUCCGUAACUGGUCUGAGAGGAUGAUCAGCCACACUGGAACUGAGACACGGUCCAGACUCCUACGAGAGGCAGCAGUGGGGAAUAUUGGACAAUGGGCGAAAGCCUGAUCCAGCCAUGCCGCGUGUGUGAAGAAGGUCUUCGGAUUGUAAAGCACUUUAAGUUGGGAGGAAGGGCAGUAAGUUAAUACCUUGCUGUUUUGACGUUACCAACAGAAUAAGCACCGGCUAACUUCGUG
RNAcentral lists this ribosomal RNA (484 nucleotides) under uncultured bacterium. RNAcentral describes it as "partial 16S ribosomal RNA". It matches the Rfam family "Bacterial small subunit ribosomal RNA", at positions 30 to 507 of the family's 1533-position model. The record is from RNAcentral.